RNAcentral lists this small RNA (553 nucleotides) under uncultured Penicillium. Its description in RNAcentral is "eukaryotic LSU rRNA". The stretch from base 177 to 330 matches the Rfam family "5.8S ribosomal RNA". Lineage: Eukaryota; Fungi; Ascomycota; Eurotiomycetes; Eurotiales; Aspergillaceae. The record is from RNAcentral.
GGGGUCUUCGAGUGAGGCUCUGGGUCACCUCCCACCCGUGUUUAUUUUACCUUGUUGCUUCGGCGAGCCUGCCUUUUGGCUGCCGGGGGACGUCUGUCCCCGGGUCCGCGCUCGCCGAAGACACCUUAGAACUCUGUCUGAAGAUUGUAGUCUGAGAUUAAAUAUAAAUUAUUUAAAACUUUCAACAACGGAUCUCUUGGUUCCGGCAUCGAUGAAGAACGCAGCGAAAUGCGAUACGUAAUGUGAAUUGCAGAAUUCAGUGAAUCAUCGAGUCUUUGAACGCACAUUGCGCCCUCUGGUAUUCCGGAGGGCAUGCCUGUCCGAGCGUCAUUGCUGCCCUCAAGCACGGCUUGUGUGUUGGGCUCCGUCCUCCUUCCGGGGGACGGGCCCGAAAGGCAGCGGCGGCACCGCGUCCGGUCCUCAAGCGUAUGGGGCUUUGUCACCCGCUUUGUAGGACUGGCCGGCGCCUGCCGAUCAACCAAACUUUUUUCCAGGUUGACCUCGGAUCAGGUAGGGAUACCCGCUGAACUUAAGCAUAUCAAUAAGCGGAGGA